RNAcentral lists this transfer-messenger RNA (353 nucleotides) under Candidatus Abyssobacteria. RNAcentral describes it as "SURF-5 sp003598085 Standard tmRNA". It matches the Rfam family "transfer-messenger RNA". From Rfam's summary of the family: Bacterial tmRNA, also known as 10Sa RNA or SsrA, is named for its dual tRNA and mRNA-like properties. Its role is to liberate the mRNA from a stalled ribosome. The record is from RNAcentral. RNAcentral also lists the same sequence under 1 other name. Lineage: Bacteria; Pseudomonadati; Candidatus Hydrogenedentota.
GGGGGCGAAAAGGGUUCGACAGGGAUAGCUGCUUCUUGGGUUGCAUGCCGAGCACCCCGUACCACUCGUUAAACGGUCGGGAAACAAAAUGUAACUGCAGAUCACGAAUUUGCAAUGGCUGCUUAACAAAGUGGCCCGGCUCCCUCGAUCAGCCUGCGGAUCGGGAAGAGCCGUCGAUUAGCAGGAUGGCGCCGGUAAACGGCCCGGCCUAUCGGCGCGAAAUUUACGGGCUGGCCAGUGGCGCAUCCUUCUCAUGGGAGGCGCUAUCGGCAAGAUCAAAACAUGAGAUAAGCAUGUAGACGCUCAACGAGCGAUAUCUUUGGACGGGGGUUCAAUUCCCCCCGCCUCCACCA